UUAAAUGGGGGUUUAAAUUAGAGGUCUUUAAAUGACAAAUAGACCAUCAUAUUUUGUUAUGGACAAAACUAGUCAUGGAAGGGUAAAAAUUGAAGGUAUAGUAAAAAGGGCAUUUUUGUCAUUUGGGUGUUUUAAGGCAUAAAAGACAAAAUUGAAACCCAAAAAUCUGCUCAUUCUCUUCUCCAUACUGCCGAAACUUUCAGAAAGCCAUGGCUAGGGUUUCAAGCUUUUUCAAAGUUCAAUUAUCGAAGAAAUCGAGAUUUGGACUAAGUACGGGGAAAUAUAAAUCAAAAUGAUUGAUUCGCGUUGAGUAUCGCCAAGUUAGCUCGGGGAUCAGUGGACGUCGGAGAUUCGCUCACACUAUCAAUUAGAACACUUGGUAUAUCUAGAUACAUAAAUUUUUGGGUUAUGGCAUGUAUAGUAGGUUUGGCCGUUUUGUCAUAUAUGUCAUAUUUCUUAUGGCCAAUAUUGACGGUUGUUAUACGCCUAUGAUAUGGUUAUUCAUGUAUGUGGUAAUUGCAUAAUUGAAUGUUGUGGAGGUGGUUUACAAAUGA
Long non-coding RNA from Gossypium raimondii (Peruvian cotton), 554 nucleotides. RefSeq lists it as uncharacterized. The record is from RefSeq and is a predicted model, not a curated record. The transcript is spliced from 2 exons. Lineage: Eukaryota; Viridiplantae; Streptophyta; Magnoliopsida; Malvales; Malvaceae.